This is a small nucleolar RNA of Rattus norvegicus (Norway rat), 126 nucleotides long. Ensembl annotates it as small nucleolar RNA SNORA17. The record is from Ensembl. Lineage: Eukaryota; Metazoa; Chordata; Mammalia; Rodentia; Muridae.
UUUGCCCUGACAAGUGUUACAGGUGUGGCUACUGUGUCGCAUGUGCUUUGAUAGGCAGCAGAGAGGAGAGAGGCUAUUUCUAUGCUCAGUAUUCUGCUUUAUGAAUGUCUGAUAUAGCCUAACUUU